This 473-nucleotide ribosomal RNA is filed under the name Planctomycetota bacterium. RNAcentral describes it as "partial 23S ribosomal RNA". It matches the Rfam family "Bacterial large subunit ribosomal RNA", at positions 2441 to 2925 of the family's 2925-position model. The record is from RNAcentral. Lineage: Bacteria; Pseudomonadati; Planctomycetota.
GUCGUGGCUCAUCAGACAAAAGGUACUCCGGGGAUAACAGGCUGAUCUCCUCCAAGCGUUCACAGCGACGAGGAGGUUUGGCACCUCGAUGUCGGCUCAUCGCAUCCUGGGGCUGCAGUUGGUCCCAAGGGUUUGGCUGUCCGCCAAUUAAAGCGGUACGCGAGCUGGGUUCAGACCGUCGUGAGACAGGUCGGUCCCUAUCUGCCAUGGGCGCAGGAAGAUUGAGAAGAACUGACUUUAGUACGAGAGGACUUUGUCGGACGGACCUCUGGUGUUCGAGUUGUACUGCCAAGUGCAAUGCUCGGUAGCUACGUCCGGAACGGAUAAACGCUGAAAGCAUCUAAGCGUGAAGCCAGCUUCAAGAUAAAUCUUCCCCGAAGGCCCCUUGUAGACUACGAGGUUGAUAGGCUGGAUGUGUAAGACCCGCGAGGGUUUCAGCUAACCAGUACUAAUUGGCCGUUCGGCUUGAUCGC